UCGUUGUAGCAAUACGAUGGAAAGUUUAGUGGCGAACGGGUGCUUAACACGUGGGCAACCUGCCAGGAAGUGGGGGAUAGCUCGCCGAAAGGCGAAUUAAUACCGCAUGUGAUUAGAGAGGACAUCCUUUCGAAAUUAAAGUCGGGGCAACCUGACGCUUCUUGUGGGCCCGCGGCCUAUCAGCUAGUUGGUGAGGUAACGGCUCACCAAGGCUUUGACGGGUAGCUGGUCUGAGAGGACGACCAGCCACACUGGGACUGAGACACGGCCCAGACACCUACGGGUGGCAGCAGUCGAGAAUUUUUGACAAUGGGGGAAACCCUGAUCGAGCGACGCCGCGUGGAGGAUGAAGGUCUUCGGAUUGUAAACUCCUGUCAUUGGGGAACAAUGCGUGACGGUUAACUGCCGUCGCGUUGAUAGUACCCGAAGAGGAAGAGACGGCUAACUCUGUGCCAGCAGCCGCGGUAAUACAGAGGUCUCAAGCGUUGUUCGGAUUCAUUGGGCGUAAAGGGUGCGUAGGCGGCGCGGUAAGUCGGGUGUGAAAUCUCGGGGCUUAACUCCGAAACUGCAUUCGAUACUGCCGUGCUUGAGGACUGGAGAGGAGACUGGAAUUCUCGGUGUAGCA
RNAcentral lists this ribosomal RNA (625 nucleotides) under uncultured Verrucomicrobiota bacterium. Its description in RNAcentral is "bacterial SSU rRNA". It matches the Rfam family "Bacterial small subunit ribosomal RNA", at positions 71 to 680 of the family's 1533-position model. Lineage: Bacteria; Pseudomonadati; Verrucomicrobiota. The record is from RNAcentral.